UGAGGAAUCUUGCGCAAUGGGCGAAAGCCUGACGCAGCGACACCGCGUGCGGGAAGAAGGCCUUCGGGUCGUAAACCGCUUUUCUGGAGGACGAGCAAGGACGGUACUCCAGGAAUAAGUCCCGGCUAACUACGUGCCAGCAGCCGCGGUAAAACGUAGGGGGCGAGCGUUAUCCGGAAUCACUGGGCGUAAAGGGCGUCUAGGCGGCCGCUUUAGUCGUGCGUGAAAGCUCCCGGCUCAACUGGGAGAGGGCGCACGAUACUGGGCGGCUCGAGACUCAGAGGGGGGUGUGGAAUUCCCGGUGGAGUGGUGAAAUGCGUUGAGAUCGGGAGGAACACCAGUGGCGAAGGCGGCACCCUGGCUGAGGUCUGACGCUGAAGCGCGACAGCGUGGGGAGCAAACGGG
This 405-nucleotide ribosomal RNA is filed under the name bacterium. RNAcentral describes it as "partial 16S ribosomal RNA". It matches the Rfam family "Bacterial small subunit ribosomal RNA", at positions 355 to 776 of the family's 1533-position model. The record is from RNAcentral.